GGCCUUCUAGCUCAUCUGGAAGAGCGCCCGUGUGAAGAGCGGGAGGCAUGAGGUUCGACUCCUCAGAAGGCCA
Molecule: transfer RNA, 73 nt
Filed under: Actinomadura sp. 7K507
Lineage: Bacteria; Bacillati; Actinomycetota; Actinomycetes; Streptosporangiales; Thermomonosporaceae
Description: tRNA-Phe
Rfam family: tRNA
About the family: Transfer RNA (tRNA) molecules are approximately 80 nucleotides in length. Their secondary structure includes four short double-helical elements and three loops (D, anti-codon, and T loops). Further hydrogen bonds mediate the characteristic L-shaped molecular structure. tRNAs have two regions of fundamental functional importance: the anti-codon, which is responsible for specific mRNA codon recognition, and the 3' end, to which the tRNAs corresponding amino acid is attached (by aminoacyl-tRNA synthetases). tRNAs cope with the degeneracy of the genetic code in two manners: having more than one tRNA (with a specific anti-codon) for a particular amino acid; and 'wobble' base-pairing, i.e. permitting non-standard base-pairing at the 3rd anti-codon position.
Source: RNAcentral